CCCAUCUCAGAGUGAGUUCCUUCAGAAGGAUUUUGGCAGCUUCAGACACCCUCUCCAUUCAGGAUACAAUAGCACCUAUGAGAAAAUCAAGGUGGUGGCAACAGGAUGUUUCUUGUACUCAAAGCAAUGAAACACGACUGUAAAGGAACAGCACUGAAAAGAAAUAAUGGAGCUCUGCGUGGUGAAAAAGAGAGGAAGAAAUCUCACAGCGGAAACACUCCAGAGGAGCAGGGAGCGAGUUACUGGAAGAAAAAUACUGGGUCAGAAGAACACUGUUUCACUCAAAGGCGGUGGCAUUAGGCCAUGGUGAUUUGAUUACAAGCAGGUAUCUGAGUUUCUGUUUGUGUAUUUUCACGUAUGUGUUGGGGCUGUGUGUUGUUGAGGAAGAACGGGG
This is a long non-coding RNA of Lemur catta (Ring-tailed lemur), 394 nucleotides long. RefSeq lists it as uncharacterized. The transcript has 3 exons. Lineage: Eukaryota; Metazoa; Chordata; Mammalia; Primates; Lemuridae. The record is from RefSeq and is a predicted model, not a curated record.